GAUGAACGCUGGCGGCGUGCUUAACACAUGCAAGUCGAACGGGAAACCUUUUAUUGAAGCUUCGGCAGAUUUAGCUGGUUUCUAGUGGCGGACGGGUGAGUAACGCGUGGGUAACCUGCCCUAUACAGGGGGAUAACAACCAGAAAUGGUUGCUAAUACCGCAUAAGCGCACAGGGCCGCAUGGUCCGGUGUGAAAAACUCCGGUGGUAUAGGAUGGACCCGCGUUGGAUUAGCCAGUUGGCAGGGUAACGGCCUACCAAAGCGACGAUCCAUAGCCGGCCUGAGAGGGUGAACGGCCACAUUGGGACUGAGACACGGCCCAGACUCCUACGGGAGGCAGCAGUGGGGAAUAUUGCACAAUGGGGGAAACCCUGAUGCAGCGACGCCGCGUGAAGGAAGAAGUAUCUCGGUAUGUAAACUUCUAUCAGCAGGGAAGAUAGUGACGGAACCUGACUAAGAAGCCCCGGCUAACUACGUG
Molecule: ribosomal RNA, 478 nt
Filed under: uncultured bacterium
Lineage: Bacteria
Description: partial 16S ribosomal RNA
Rfam family: Bacterial small subunit ribosomal RNA
Source: RNAcentral